UGUGUGUUGUGUGUGUGUGUGUGUCUGGGGUGUGUUGUGUGUGUGUGUAGGUAUGUUCCGCACAAACACACACCACACACACACACACACACACACACACACACACACACAUAUUAUUAAUCUAUAUCUAUAUAUAUAUAUAUUAUAUAUAUAUAUUUAUAUAUAUCUCUAUAUAUAUAUACAUAU
Penaeus monodon (black tiger shrimp) is the source of this 186-nucleotide small nucleolar RNA. RefSeq annotates it as small nucleolar RNA SNORA23. The transcript has a single exon. Lineage: Eukaryota; Metazoa; Arthropoda; Malacostraca; Decapoda; Penaeidae. The record is from RefSeq and is a predicted model, not a curated record.